Molecule: long non-coding RNA, 1519 nt
Organism: Acanthochromis polyacanthus (spiny chromis)
Lineage: Eukaryota; Metazoa; Chordata; Actinopteri; Pomacentridae
Exons: 3
Source: RefSeq, a predicted model, not a curated record
AUGGACAAAAAUGUCAUUUUUUCUCCAAAAAUUGAGAAAAACGUCAUAGUUUAGUAUUUCAUAUGAAAAUGGGAAAAAAAGUCAUAAAUUUAUAUGUCAUCGGAAAAUGGAUAAAAAACAUCAUAGUUUAGUUUGUAUGUCGACAAAAAAGGCGCUUUUUUUCCAACAUGUCGUAAAAACGUGCCAUAUGAUGAAAUAAUGUAAAGGAGACCGUGAAAGAGCGCCUACAUAGCUCAACAGGUUAGGCAGGCAACCCCAUGUACAGGGACUGGUCCCUGAUGCAGCAGCCUGGGUUUGGUUCCUACCUUUGCCUUAUGUCCUCCGCCUAAACUUCUCCCUGUUUUCUGUCACUAUUCACUGCUACUUCCAAAAGAAAGUGUUUUUUAAAAAAAUGGACAAAAACAUCAUAGUUUAGUAUGUCGUCCGAAAAUGGACAAAAACGUCAUAGUUUAGUAUGUCAGCCAAAAAUGGACAAAAACGUCAUAGUUUAGUAUGUCAGCCAAAAAUGGACAAAAACGUCAUAGUUUAGUAUGUCAUCGGAAAAUGGAUAAAAAACAUCAUAGUUUAGUUUGUAUGUCGACAAAAAAGGCGAUUUUUUUCCAACAUGUCUUACAAACGUGCCAUAUGAUGAAAUAAUGUAAAGGAGAGCAUGAAAGAGCGCCCACAUAGCUCAACAGGUUAAGCAGGCAACCCUGUGUACAGGGGCUGGUCCCUGAUGCAGUGGCCCGGGUUCGAUUCCUACCUUUGCCUUAUGUCCUCCCCCUAUACUUCUCCCUGUUUUCCGUCACUAUUCACUGCUACUUCCAAAAGAAAGUCUUUUCAAAAAUGUUAUAGUUACCUCCGCCAAGGAGGUUAUGUGACACCCGGCGUUUGUGUGUCUGACUGUUAGCAAGAUAACUCAAAAGCCUGGGCAGAUUCACUUGAAAUUUUGAGGGGCUGUAGACUAUGGUAAGAGGAAGAGCUGAUUUAAUUCUGGUGGCAAUCCGGAAAGGAUCCUUGAUUCUGGAUCACUUUGAAUUUUAUAUUUAGUAUGUUUUAGUAUGUGGUCCAAAAUAUGACAAAAACAUCAUAGGUUAAUAUGUCGUCCAACAAAUGGGAGCAAGGUGUCCGGAUAGCUCAACUGGUUAAGAAGGUGAUUCAUAAACAGAACUAUGUCAGAGAUGCAGGUUCGAUUCCAGCUCAUGAUCCUUUACUGCAUGGGUUUCCUGUUUUCCUCUCUAUCCUUGGCGGAGGUCUGCACUCUCUGACUGCUUUUCUAGUUUAAUAUGACGUCCAAAAAUGGACAAUAAACGUCAUAGUUUAGUAUAUCGUCCGAAAAUGGACAAAAAACGUCAUAGUUUAGUACAUCGUCCGAAAAUGUACAAAAAACGUCAUAGUUUACUAUGACGUCUGAAAAUGUACAACAACGUCAUAGUUUAGUAUGUCAUCUGAAAAUGGACAAAAACGUCAUAGUUUAGUAUGUCAUCCAAAAAUGGACAGAAACGUCAUAGUUUAGUAUGACAUCCGAAAAUGGACAAAA